Molecule: ribosomal RNA, 255 nt
Filed under: uncultured bacterium
Lineage: Bacteria
Description: partial 16S ribosomal RNA
Rfam family: Bacterial small subunit ribosomal RNA
Source: RNAcentral
UACGUAGGGGGCAAGCGUUGUCCGGAUUUAUUGGGCGUAAAGCGCACGCAGGCGGUCUCUUAAGUUUUGAGUGACAGGUGGUGGCUCAAACUGCCACAGGCCUCAGAAGACUGGGAGACUUGAGGACGAGAGAGGGAUGCGGAAUUCCAGGUGGAGCGGUGAAAAUGCGUAGAUAUCGGAGGAAUACCGGUGGCGAAGGCGGCAUCCUGGACCGGCAUUGACGCUGAUGAGCGAAACUAAGGGGAGCAAACGGGG